This 253-nucleotide ribosomal RNA is filed under the name uncultured bacterium. RNAcentral's name for it is "partial 16S ribosomal RNA". It matches the Rfam family "Bacterial small subunit ribosomal RNA", at positions 524 to 776 of the family's 1533-position model. The record is from RNAcentral.
UACAGAGGUCCCGAGCGUUGUUCGGAUUCACUGGGCGUAAAGGGUGCGUAGGUGGCAUGGUAAGUUUGAUGUGAAAGCUCAGGGCUCAACCCUGAAAUGGCAUUGAAUACUACUGUGCUGGAGGUUUGGAGGGGGGACUGGAAUUCUUGGUGUAGCAGUGAAAUGCGUAGAUAUCUGGAGGAACACCGGUGGCGAAGGCGGCAUCCUGGACCGGCAUUGACGCUGAGGCGCGAAAGCUAGGGGAGCAAACGGG